Molecule: ribosomal RNA, 447 nt
Filed under: uncultured bacterium
Lineage: Bacteria
Description: SSU rRNA
Rfam family: Bacterial small subunit ribosomal RNA
Source: RNAcentral
AGAGCGAACGCUGGCGGCAGGCUUAACACAUGCAAGUCGAGCGCCCGUAGCAAUACGGGAGCGGCAGACGGGAGAGUAACACGUGGGAACGCGCCCUUCGGUUCGGAAUAACUCAGGGAAACUUGAGCUAAUACCGAAUACGCCCUUACGGGGAAAGAUUUAUUGCCGAAGGAACGGCCCGCGUCGGAUUAGCUAGUUGGUGAGGUAACGGCUCACCAAGGCGACGAUCCGUAGCUGGUCUGAGAGGAUGACCAGCCUCACUGGGACUGAGACACGGCCCAGACUCCUACGGGAGGCAGCAGUGGGGAAUAUUGGACAAUGGGCGCAAGCCUGAUCCAGCCAUGCCGCGUGGAUGAUGAAGGCCUUAGGGUUGUAAAGUCCUUUUAACGGGAAGUAUAAUGACGGUACCCGUAGAAUAAGCCCGGCUAACUUCGUGCCAGCAGCCGC